This 492-nucleotide ribosomal RNA is filed under the name uncultured bacterium. RNAcentral describes it as "partial 16S ribosomal RNA". It matches the Rfam family "Bacterial small subunit ribosomal RNA", at positions 29 to 507 of the family's 1533-position model. The record is from RNAcentral.
AGUGAACGCUGGCGGUAGGCCUAACACAUGCAAGUCGAACGGCAGCACAGUAAGAGCUUGCUCUUACGGGUGGCGAGUGGCGGACGGGUGAGGAAUACAUCGGAAUCUACUUUUUCGUGGGGGAUAACGUAGGGAAACUUACGCUAAUACCGCAUACGACCUACGGGUGAAAGCAGGGGAUCUUCGGACCUUGCGCGAUUGAAUGAGCCGAUGUCGGAUUAGCUAGUUGGCGGGGUAAAGGCCCACCAAGGCGACGAUCCGUAGCUGGUCUGAGAGGAUGAUCAGCCACACUGGAACUGAGACACGGUCCAGGCUCCUACGGGAGGCAGCAGUGGGAAAUAUUGGACAAUGGGCGCAAGCCUGAUCCAGCCAUACCGCGUGGGUGAAGAAGGCCUUCGGGUUGUAAAGCCCUUUUGUUGGGAAAGAAAAGCAGCAGGUUAAUACCCCGCUGUUCUGACGGUACCCAAAGAAUAAGCACCGGCUAACUUCAUG